Long non-coding RNA from Piliocolobus tephrosceles (Ugandan red Colobus), 615 nucleotides. RefSeq lists it as uncharacterized. The transcript has 3 exons. The record is from RefSeq and is a predicted model, not a curated record. Lineage: Eukaryota; Metazoa; Chordata; Mammalia; Primates; Cercopithecidae.
AGGAUGCCCCGCGGUCCUUGGGUGCUGACGUCACGAGGGAGGGCGGUCCCCCAUUUGAUGAAGUUAACCGUGCUGUAUAAAAGAGCGCCAGCAACAGAGGCCGGUUAGUUUAUCUCAGGCUCGGCCUGGGUUUGCUGAGUCCGAGAAGGUGACCGUGGUGGCCCUUUUGAGGUGACCAUAGCCGCCGAGGAGCAUAAGUGCGCACUGAGGCGGCCACAGUCGCUAAGAAGGUUGCCAUCGCGACGCGGCCGCUGUAGGGUUUUGCUUCCGGGUUAGGCGGCCGCCGAAGCGUAGACGGAGUAGCUGGAGCGCCUCUUCCGGUUAGCUUUUCCCAGUGCCAGAGGCGCCUGGGGUUGGGGUCUUCGCUCAGGGACAGAGACCUGACAGCGAGCGGCGGCUUCCCCGGGAUCGAGGGACGCGCACGCCAGAGGAGACGAAAGGAACCCGGGUCGGACCAGAUCGGAACCACUGACCAUUGCCCAUGGCGGCCCUAGGCCCUAGCAGCCAGAAUGUCACUGAAUACGUCGUUCGAGUUCCCAAGAAUACAACCAAAAAAUAUAACAUCAUGGCUUUUAAUGCAGCCGAUAAAGUCAACUUUGCUACAUGGAAUCAGGU